UACGUAGGGUGCGAGCGUUAAUCGGAAUUACUGGGCGUAAAGCGUGCGCAGGCGGCUUUGCAAGACAGAUGUGAAAUCCCCGGGCUCAACCUGGGAACUGCAUUUGUGACUGCAAGGCUAGAGUACGGCAGAGGGGGAUGGAAUUCCGCGUGUAGCAGUGAAAUGCGUAGAUAUGCGGAGGAACAUCAAUGGCGAAGGCAAUCCCCUGGGCCUGUACUGACGCUCAUGCACGAAAGCGUGGGGAGCAAACAGG
Molecule: ribosomal RNA, 253 nt
Filed under: uncultured bacterium
Lineage: Bacteria
Description: partial 16S ribosomal RNA
Rfam family: Bacterial small subunit ribosomal RNA
Source: RNAcentral